Molecule: ribosomal RNA, 523 nt
Filed under: Rana amurensis
Lineage: Eukaryota; Metazoa; Chordata; Amphibia; Anura; Ranidae
Description: partial 16S ribosomal RNA
Rfam family: Bacterial large subunit ribosomal RNA
Source: RNAcentral
CGCCUCUUGACAAACAUAAGAGGUCCAGCUUGCCCAGUGACAAAGUUCAACGGCCGCGGUACCCUAACCGUGCGAAGGUAGCAUAAUCACUUGUUCUCUAAAUAAGGACUUGUAUCAACGGCACUACGAGGGUUAUACUGUCUCCUUUUUCCAAUCAGUGAAACUGAUCUCCCCGUGAAGAAGCGGGGAUCAAAAUAUAAGACGAGAAGACCCCAUGGAGCUUUAAACUCACUGUACACCUCUAUGUUCCUAUAUCCUUAUAACACAAGAAACCUGUACAUUAGUUUUAGGUUGGGGGGACCACGGAGUACAACUUAACCUCCAUAACAAAUGGGCUAACACCCUUAUCCACGAGACACAACUCUAAGAAUUAAUAGACUAAUGCUUAUGACCCGAUAUUCGAUCAAUGAACCAAGUUACCCUGGGGAUAACAGCGCAAUCUACUUCAAGAGCUCAUAUCGACAAGUAGGUUUACGACCUCGAUGUUGGAUCAGGGUAUCCCGGUGGUGCAACCGCUACCAAU